Molecule: ribosomal RNA, 448 nt
Filed under: uncultured bacterium
Lineage: Bacteria
Description: bacterial SSU rRNA
Rfam family: Bacterial small subunit ribosomal RNA
Source: RNAcentral
UUCCAGACUCCUACGGGAGGCAGCAGUGGGGGAUAUUGCACAAUGGGGGAAACCCUGAUGCAGCGACGCCGCGUGAGUGAAGAAGUAAUUCGUUACGUAAAGCUCUAUCAGCAGGGAAGAAAAUGACGGUACCUGACUAAGAAGCCCCGGCUAACUACGUGCCAGCAGCCGCGGUAAUACGUAGGGGGCAAGCGUUAUCCGGAAUUACUGGGUGUAAAGGGAGCGUAGACGGCAUGGCAAGUCAGAUGUGAAAGCCCGGGGCUCAACCCCGGGACUGCAUUUGAAACUGUCAGGCUGGAGUGCAGGAGAGGUAAGUGGAAUUCCUAGUGUAGCGGUGAAAUGCGUAGAUAUUAGGAGGAACACCAGUGGCGAAGGCGGCUUACUGGACUGCAACUGACACUGAGGCUCGAAAGUGUGGGUAUCAAACAGGAUUAGAUACCCGCGUACA